RNAcentral lists this long non-coding RNA (579 nucleotides) under Heterocephalus glaber (naked mole-rat). RNAcentral describes it as "lncRNA (ENSHGLG00100048998.1)". Lineage: Eukaryota; Metazoa; Chordata; Mammalia; Rodentia; Bathyergidae. The record is from RNAcentral.
GUUCUUACAACAAUAUACAACACAGAUGAACUAAAGUUCACGGUCUCCCUAUGUAAUCCAGGCUGGCCUGGAACUCACUGUGUAGUUCAAACUGGCCUUGGAUUCACAGUGAUCUUCCUGUCUCAUCCUGCUCAUGCUCCCCAGGUCAGCACCCCCACGGCCAGGAUGAAGAAAAAAAAGGAAACCCCAGGCUGCCAGCACCGAAGAAGGAAAAUCAAGGCAGCACCAACUCUUGCUUGGGGUGGAGGCAGGGUGGGCAGGCGGGCAUUCGUCCUGUCAGCGGCACCUGCAAGUACCCAAGGCCAAGGGCCUCCUGCUUCCCAAGAGGGUGAAGGCACCAGCUCAGGUGCCACCUCUGCAGGGACAGGGAUCCAGAAUGGGUUCAUGAGCCCGGAGCUCCUUUCUCUGUGGAUCCUCUCUCACCCCUUAACCUCCUUCUGACCACAUUACCCAAGUAACAACCGACCUCAAAACCUCUGGAGCUUGUGACAGAGGCCAGCAAGUAAAGGGCCAGAGAGUAAAUAUCUCCACUGUAACUGCUCAGCUCUCCUGUUGUUGCAUGAGGGCAGCCAAGACGUG